CCGCGCCCAGGAUUCGAACUGGCGAAACCCUGGGCCGCCAAAGCAGAGUGCGUGAACUUAACCACAGGGCUCACCCAUGUUUUGUUUUGUUUUGUUUUUGAGAAAGGUUAGCCCUGACCUAACAUCUGCUGCCAAUCCUCUUUUUGCUGAGGAAGACUGACCCUGAGCUAACAUCUGUACCAGUUUCCCUCUAUUUUGCAUGUGGGACGCCCCCACAGCACGGCCUGAGUGUUGUGUAGAAUUCAAACCAGCAAACCCCGGGCUGCCGAAGUGUAGCGCGUGAACUUAACCGCUGCACCACCUGGCCAGCUCCAGUUCCGUUCCCUUUUAAAGAUUUAACGUCAGCAGCUAUCUGAUGAUGUUUGGGUUGAGGUGGGUGGUGGGUAGGUUCUCCUUACCAUCCCCAAAGACCCACCAUUCCUGCCAGGUCAGAAACUCUGCUUGCACCAUCAUCUGAUGCCUUCACAUGGAGUCUUUGAAACUCUGGGUGUCACUGGGGCCCUGCUUCCUGUGCCAGUAGAGUUUUUAGGGAACGCUCCCCAAGGCAGGCUGGCUUUAAAUAUCCUGCUUGACCUGACUUGGCUCCUGGGCUCUCCCUGUGGCCCUGAUACUCUGCUGCUUCACUGACGUCUCUGCCUACCCACUCCGGUUGGCUUAGUGUUCGCCUUCCUCCAGGUCAAAGGCCAGCAGCCUCUGCCUCAUUAUACGAGUUCUUACACCCACCACCCACUUCUGUCUCUUGAAAGGCUAAAGGAGACUGUGGCAUCCUUUGGAUAGUAUGUCUCAUCUAAAAGUCUGGUCACCAGAUGGGUGUUCUAGAAACCGCUUCUCUCAUCUCUGAACAAUCCCACAGGAAUUGUAGGAGCUGACAUUAACCUACAAUGUCCCUGAUUGCCUCUUCAGUGAGGAUUUCCACUUCAACUCCCCCAGAUCCUUUCUCCCCUCCUACCCCCAAUCCUGGAGACGGGCUGUGUUUUCAGAUACCCGGGAAGGUCUUGCCCUAGCUUCUUCAGCUCUGAGGCUGUAGCUGGGUUCCUGCCUGACACACCAGACACAUGGACUAGCCUGAACAGAUUUCCUGCCUAACCAGCUAAGCUUUAAAAAUGACCUUGGGAACUGUUCUGGGCAUUCUUGCAGAGCCGUCUCGGCUUGAGAGAAGCAGCUGUGCUUUCUCCAUGUCCAGGGCCCCAGCCCCAACACGUCAGGGCUGCAAUCAACCAUUGGAGCACACAGGCAGACCUGGGUCCAGUCUGGUCACUAGUUAGCUGUGUUACCCUGGGCAAGUCACCCCUUCAGGGCCUCAGUUUCCUCUGUAAAUAAGACUAGUAACCCAAUGAAGAUGUUGGGAAGAUUUUAAUGAGAUAAUACGUCCACGUACAUGUAAAGGGCCUAGCACAUAUUAGGAGCUCGAGGGUGGCGCCUUGCCUUUUUCCUUGUUCUGAACUGGAAAUGAAGCCACGGAAAAGAAGGGAGGUGCCGCAAAACGACGUCAGGUCCCAGAAGAUGUCAAAGCUCCUCUCCAGCUCAACCCUCCGCGGUGCCUGGACCCCUACCCGUCAAAACUUCUCCCGAGCCCUGUUGUUCCAGUGUCCUCCGCUAGGGGGGGAAAAGAAGGGACAACCUGACUGCCUUAAGAGUAUUUCUUCCCGAUCGAGGAUGCGCUCGACUUCCAAAGAAAGGGACGAGAAGGAACAUUAAUGGAGCAUCUUCUGCCGUUGGGACUGUGCAGGGGAAGUGGACCAACCUUAGGAGCAAGGAUGCCCUCCAUACUAGAGGAGGCUUUGGAAGUGGAGCUCUGGAGCUGUGGAGAGGCAGAACGCUAGAAAGGCUGCACCGAGAGGCAAGACCACAAGAAAGGAUCUAGCAG
This 1867-nucleotide long non-coding RNA is filed under the name Equus asinus (donkey). Its description in RNAcentral is "lncRNA (ENSEASG00005037112.1)". The record is from RNAcentral. Lineage: Eukaryota; Metazoa; Chordata; Mammalia; Perissodactyla; Equidae.